Molecule: non-coding RNA, 517 nt
Organism: Pelobates cultripes (western spadefoot toad)
Lineage: Eukaryota; Metazoa; Chordata; Amphibia; Anura; Pelobatidae
Source: the annotation of a GenBank genome assembly
AAAUUGCGUGGGUCCGCAGUGGCCAGCGUGCACUGCCAUGCCGCACAAGCCAAGCAUCAUGGCAGAAGACCGCCGAGCGGCACUCCCCUCUAUCUUCGGAAGGUAAUUAUCUCUGUUUUUGCCACAAGGAUAUGAAGGAUAUGUGACAGCAUACCCUUAGUUCUUAAUACGGUGUAUUGUCCCAUAGAGCAUCAAUGACAGCAUGCAGCAUUUUGUAAUAGUUGUCUAUAAGGCCCUUAAUAAUUGCAGGUGGUAUAGAUGCCCAUUCGUCUUUGCAAAAUACAUCCAGGUCAUGCAAAGUCUUUGGUGGUCUUGCAUGAACCACAUGUAUGAGAUCUUCCCAGAGUGGCUCGAUAUUAAGGUCAGGAGACUAUGAUGGCCACUGCAGAACCUUCAUGUUUUUCUGCUGUGAUCACUGGAGGGUCAUCUUGGCCUUUUACUUAGGGUCAUUGUCAUGCUGGAAAGUCCAAGAGUGUCCCAUGCACAGCCUUCGUGCAGAAGAAUGCAAAUUAUCUGC